UCUUGUCUCAAUAAUUACAUUAACUAUAUAUUUUAUAGAAUUUCAACCUUUUUCGGCUCCUGGCCUUUUUCGUUCCAGACGAUUUCACACGCAAAUUAACGUUAUAAACCAUUAUAUAUAUAUUAACAUUUUAUCUAUCUUUUACAUAGAAAAAAAGGAAGAUAAUUUGUUGAAUGUUAAAAAUCUAUUCUGUGUGAUAAUUGAAUAAUGAAGCAAUUACUAAGAAGCAUUCUCGGUUUGUCAGGGCAAAUAUCAUUUAUUGUUUGUCUAUUAUUCCUAUUUUUCGUCUUCUUAUUCUCUAUCUCUAUUUUUAUUUUCCUUCUCUCUAACGUCUUUCCUAAUGAAUAGAAAUAAUUUCAGUUAUUUAAUCACGAGAAAUCACAAACACAAUGCUUCCAAAACUCAGAAGCAUUGAAAAUAACAUUUCUAUCGUCACGUUUCUGUCAAACACGGACUAACGUCCGUAAUACGUAGUUGGAUCGAAAUUUUAGAUAAAAAAAAAAUCUAUAUCACUCGAUAUAUAUUGCUCUUUACAAGUUUAUACUUAAAGAGCUUAGGAAUCUAUUUAUUCGUGGAGCGAUAUUUAAAAAAAAUCCAACACGAAUAAAAAACAUUCGAAUUGCUGCAUCGAUCCCAGCUCAAGAGUCGGCAUCACGUUUGGAGCGUUUAAGUUUCAUUAAUGAAACCCGAACGAGUCGCAAACAAUUGUAUCUUUAUUGUCGAAAAAGUGACAUCGUUGUUUCCACUCAAUUCCCCUGAUACGAAAAGGAGUGAAUCGAAAAGGAGAAAAGAGAUAAGAUAAGAAAUUCCUCCAUAGUUUACCUUAUAGUAUACCAUUUAUUUCGAUACCUUUCUCUCGUCUCGAGAGAGAAGAUAAUUUUUAAUUACGAGCAAUUGCGAAGUUGGGCGUCUGCGGCGUCACGUUUUGCCCCGCGUUUGUCAUUGCACUCCACCUGUUAUCGUCAAUUGCGCCGACGAACGUGCAAACUUGAGCGCGCGUUCACGCAACGGCGCACAAUCCCUCUUCUUUCUCUUUCUCCACGGCACGGUGAUAAUUAUCAACGUGAGAAACCCGCCUCCCCUCCCCCUCCCCCGCUACGUGGAAUGUUCCAUCCAUCCCGAACUUCCCUCGAUUUCGGGAGGAGGAGACGAAAUUUUCUUUUCGAGGCGAAGAAACGUGAAUUAUUAUCUUUUUUUUUUUUUUUCAAGCUUUCAAGAAGCUGUGACGUGAUUUCGCUUGUGACGUGAUUGUGCUUGGUGUUGGAUUGUCGAACGAUUUUACGAAUUUAAAACGAAACGGGGAAGAAAAUGUAUAAGAAACGGUUUUUUGGGGCGAGUCCAGGCUUGUUUGUACAACACAGGUGAUCAGCUCGGCGAGAAACAUUGGCAACGUUACGUGCGCCAUGUGAACCGCGUUCCUCGCAUUCGAACGAAAAAGCGUGUCUCUCGUUCGUGCAAUUAUAUCUGGCCCGAUGAAAUAUUUAAAAGUCGAGCUCCCAGAUUCGAUUUUAUUAUUAACGACGAGCGAGAUUGUCGCCCCUUUUCUUUCGAAUCGAGCGGAAACGAUACGAUACGACUGAAACAUCGAGGGAACUAAAAUAUCGAGUCAUACCGACGCGUAAACAAAGGGGCGAAAUUAUGAGACGGUUAUAACGGUCGCGUCCAACAAUAACAACGAGUUAAAACGAAGACGAAAAUAUAUUAUCCGACAAUUCUUGCUUAUCGAAUCGAGAAGAAAAGAAGAAAGAGAGAGAAGGAGAAAUCAGCCGCCCACCAACCUCCCUCCCCACAUUGCAAUUCCUUAAUGACGCGUAUUCAUACGAAAGCAGACUCACUGUCUCCGAGCGCAGACGGUGAUAAUUAUCACCGUGAGAAACGUCAUGUAUCACCUAAGGCGAGCCACCUUGCGAGAGAUGAUGCUGAUGUUGGGCUGAUGGCGGCGGCGGUUGGGCUGUUUUCAAAAGGGCCAUCCUCUUCCAUCCUCCAGCAAAGAUGGAGGAACGAGAGAGAGAGAGAGAGAGAGCGGUUGGAUCUGGACGGAGAGGAGGGCACGAGGAGGAAUUUGAUUUACGCAUCGGCUCGUUGAAGUGGAUGUAUUGUGCGAGAAAACAUUGUGACGCAUCGUGGGGGACGAGUGGGGGAUAAAGUCUUAAUUACCAACCGCGCGUGUAUCGAGGCUACGAUUUCGCGAAAAGUCACAGUCACGGAGGCGAGUGAGAAACAAUGAGGAAUUUUGAAACUGACGCGCGUUGAGUGUAAUAAUUUCGUGGGUUUGUGGAAGGAACGAUUCGAUCAAGUUGUAAAAUUUUAAGAGAUGAAUUAUAUAAAUAGCAUUCUCGUUGGAGAUAACGCUGCAUGAUUAUUCAAAGUAAAUGAAAGGUAAUUUUAAUUGUAAAAAAAAAAAAAAAAAA
RNAcentral lists this long non-coding RNA (2411 nucleotides) under Apis florea (little honeybee). Its description in RNAcentral is "uncharacterized LOC116413919". The record is from RNAcentral. Lineage: Eukaryota; Metazoa; Arthropoda; Insecta; Hymenoptera; Apidae.